UACGUAGGGUCCGAGCGUUGUCCGGAAUUAUUGGGCGUAAAGAGCUCGUAGGCGGUUCGUCGCGUCGGCUGUGAAAUCCCGAGGCUCAACCUCGGGUCUGCAGUCGAUACGGGCGGACUGGAGUUCGGCAGGGGAGACUGGAAUUCCUGGUGUAGCGGUGAAAUGCGCAGAUAUCAGGAGGAACACCGGUGGCGAAGGCGGGUCUCUGGGCCGAUACUGACGCUGAGGAGCGAAAGCGUGGGGAGCGAACAGG
RNAcentral lists this ribosomal RNA (253 nucleotides) under uncultured bacterium. RNAcentral describes it as "partial 16S ribosomal RNA". It matches the Rfam family "Bacterial small subunit ribosomal RNA", at positions 524 to 776 of the family's 1533-position model. The record is from RNAcentral.